Molecule: ribosomal RNA, 485 nt
Filed under: Holothuria atra
Lineage: Eukaryota; Metazoa; Echinodermata; Holothuroidea; Aspidochirotida; Holothuriidae
Description: partial 16S ribosomal RNA
Rfam family: Bacterial large subunit ribosomal RNA
Source: RNAcentral
CCUGCCAGUGGCCAAGGCUAAACGGCCGCGGUAUCUUGACCGUGCAAAGGUAGCAUAAUCAUUUGUCUUUUAAAUGGAGACUUGUAUGAACGGCAAAACCUUUUUCAGCUGUCUCCUUUUCUACCCUUUUAAAUUUCUUUCUGUGUGAAGAAGCACAGAUACACAAGAAAGACGAGAAGACCCUGUCGAGCUUUAGCCACUAAGUGAAUAAUAUUACCCAUUAACAUCACCCAAAGGCUUUGGUUGGGGCAACCAAGGAGAAAAAAAAUCCUCCAGAACAAACAGAAGAAAACCCUUCACUGAUAACUUCCUAAAGAACCAAAAAUUGACAUUCGGAAAAAGUUACCGCAGGGAUAACAGCGUAAUCCUCUCUGAGAGUCCUCAUUGACGAGAGGGUUUGCGACCUCGAUGUUGGAUUGGGGAACCCUUACGGUGCAGAAGCUGUAAAAGGCUAGACUGUUCGUCUAUUAAAACCCUACGUGAUC